This 72-nucleotide transfer RNA is filed under the name Ictidomys tridecemlineatus (thirteen-lined ground squirrel). RNAcentral's name for it is "Spermophilus tridecemlineatus (thirteen-lined ground squirrel) tRNA". It matches the Rfam family "tRNA". Rfam says of the family: Transfer RNA (tRNA) molecules are approximately 80 nucleotides in length. Their secondary structure includes four short double-helical elements and three loops (D, anti-codon, and T loops). The record is from Rfam by way of RNAcentral. Lineage: Eukaryota; Metazoa; Chordata; Mammalia; Rodentia; Sciuridae.
GGGGAUGUAGCUCAGCUGGUAGAGUGCUUGCUUCCCAUGCACAAAGCCUGGGUUCAAUCCCCAGCACCACAA